GAUGAACGCUGGCGGCGUGCCUAAUACAUGCAAGUAGAACGCUGAAGGAAGGAGCUUGCUCUUUCCGGAUGAGUUGCGAACGGGUGAGUAACGCGUAGGUAACCUGCCUGGUAGCGGGGGAUAACUAUUGGAAACGAUAGCUAAUACCGCAUAACAGUAGAUGUUGCAUGAUAUCUACUUAAAAGGUGCAAUUGCACCACUACCAGAUGGACCUGCGUUGUAUUAGCUAGUUGGUGAGGUAACGGCUCACCAAGGCGACGAUACAUAGCCGACCUGAGAGGGUGAUCGGCCACACUGGGACUGGGACACGGCCCAGACUCCUACGGGAGGCAGCAGUAGGGAAUCUUCGGCAAUGGACGGAAGUCUGACCGAGCAACGCCGCGUGAGUGAAGAAGGUUUUCGGAUCGUAAAGCUCUGUUGUAAGAGAAGAACGAGUGUGAGAGUGGAAAGUUCACACUGUGACGGUAUCUUACAAGAAAGGGACGGCUAACUACGUG
This 497-nucleotide ribosomal RNA is filed under the name uncultured bacterium. RNAcentral describes it as "partial 16S ribosomal RNA". It matches the Rfam family "Bacterial small subunit ribosomal RNA", at positions 28 to 507 of the family's 1533-position model. The record is from RNAcentral.